RNAcentral lists this ribosomal RNA (510 nucleotides) under uncultured bacterium. Its description in RNAcentral is "bacterial SSU rRNA". It matches the Rfam family "Bacterial small subunit ribosomal RNA", at positions 1001 to 1509 of the family's 1533-position model. The record is from RNAcentral.
CAGAGAUGCUUUAGUGCCUUCGGGAACUCUGAGACAGGUGCUGCAUGGCUGUCGUCAGCUCGUGUUGUGAAAUGUUGGGUUAAGUCCCGCAACGAGCGCAACCCUUAUCCUUUGUUGCCAGCACGCAAGUGGUGGGAACUCAAAGGAGACUGCCGGUGAUAAACCGGAGGAAGGUGGGGAUGACGUCAAGUCAUCAUGGCCCUUACGAGUAGGGCUACACACGUGCUACAAUGGCGCAUACAAAGAGAAGCGACCUCGCGAGAGCAAGCGGACCUCAUAAAGUGCGUCGUAGUCCGGAUUGGAGUCUGCAACUCGACUCCAUGAAGUCGGAAUCGCUAGUAAUCGUAAAUCAGAAUGUUACGGUGAAUACGUUCCCGGGCCUUGUACACACCGCCCGUCACACCAUGGGAGUGGGUUGCAAAAGAAGUAGAUAGCUUAACCUUCGGGAGGGCGUUUACCACUUUGUGAUUCAUGACUGGGGUGAAGUCGUAACAAGGUAGGCGUAGUGCU